CGCCGCCCACGGGUGGAGGAGGACCCCGGCUACCAAGAUGGCCGCCCUCCUAGCUCCUAGCUGCUGGCGAACCGGCUGCAAGAUGGCGGCCCUCGGAAGCGUCCGGUUGGCCCUCGGAGGCGUCCGGCUUUACAACGCUCGGCCGCUGAAGCGGCGGCUCGGAGGGGUUUACCGGCCGGACCCCCAGAACCCUCGCACGCCGGCCUGGCAGCUGACGGCCGCCUACGAAGCGAAGGUGUACGGGCGCCACGGAUCAGCCUCCGGGGUCGACCCGGCCGGACUCUGGCCCAGCCCGGAGAAGCUCCGGGAGAUGGAGGCCGAGGAGAAGGCCUGGUACCGGCCUCUGAGGGAGAUGCAGGAGCGGCUGGACGCCAAGGAGCAGAGAGCCGAAGCCAAGCGGCGGCAGAGAGAGGAGCACAUUGCUGCCCAAAUGGCCAAGAUGCCAGAGAUGAUUGCAAACUGGUUGCGGGGAAAGGAGGAGCGCAAGGCCAAAGAGCGUGAAGAGAAGGAGCGGCGGGAGAAGCUGCUGGCUGAAGCCCGUGAGCGCUUUGGUUACAACCUGGAUCACCGCAGUGCUGAGUUCCAAGAGAUGAUGCAAGAGAUGGAGAAGGCUAGAAAGAAGGAAGCAAAGCUGCAGAAGAAGCAGCGGAGAGAGGAGGCUCUGGCCAAGAAAGCAAUGCAAAGAGCACCUGAUGCCUCACUCCCAGACAAAGAAGGGGAGGUGGUUGCAGCAGAGGCAUCACAUCAGGUCACAUAGUCUGUUGGGGCUCUGAAAGUGCAGACUCUGUACUGUGCAUUGAGUUAACCUGGUGCAGAGGCCCAGCAAGCACAUUUCUUGCAACCCUUGAUCCUGCCUGAAGGUCAUUUUCCAGCUCUCUGACCACCGAUGAGAGAAUAUUCGUACCUUUGCUGCUAAUGCAUCUGAAUUCCUUGUUGGUGGGUCCUGAGGGUGAUGAUGUCAAACUUUGACUUAUAUCUUUCCAGUGCAGUAAACUACCCUCACUUACCAGCUGGCUGAUGUGUUGUGUGCAGUUACAGACAAAUAAAUGCAGGAGCAAAUCCCACUCGGAACUUUUCGGUCAGACCUCUGCUGAAACCAGGGACAAUUUACAUGAACAGCUGGGAAAGGACUGAUACGACUGCAAACCUCUGUCUGCAGAGAAGCGGAGGGUGUAUUGUCAUGUACAGCUAUAGCAGUAGCAUCAACAGUAUCCUGUAAAAAGAGGCAGUAGGCUGCCCUCUCCACUCCAAACUGUUUAGCUGGAAAAGUCUAUAGGUGGGUCCCUUUUCCACAAUGGACAGCCCAAGAGACGUUUGUAGCAUGGUGAUUGCUUCCCUCUAGUGGGACAAUUGUAGAUUCAGAUCUAUCGGACUUCCAUUUUCGAAACAGCCUCCAUUGGGAGGUGAUCCCAAAUGAAUGAACAGAAAGCAGGGGAAAUGAAAGUGAUACAGGCCUUUUUAAACUACAGCCCUAGCAUGCUUAGCUAGAGUAAGUCUUAAAGAACUUGUAGGAAAUUCUUAAUAGACAUUCAGAAGAGGUUCUAAUUUUUAAAAAGUUCAUUCCUUCCUAAAAGUCUUUCAGAACUUUAUUGGGCAGCUAGAAUUGAAAGGGGGGGACAGGUACACAUAAGAUCAUCUAAAAGUACAUGGAGGGAUACAUACAUAUGUUCAGCUCUGUCUCAGUUUCUCCCAUGACAAAUUUGAGCUCCCAUGACAAAUUUGAGAGUGAUCACCACGUGGUCAUCUAUAUACAGUUGUGAACUAACCUCCAGCUUUUUCUUCUUUACAUCGACCAGUUAAACCGCUCCUCCUUUUGGGGGCUGAUAAAACAAAUACCUUACACUUUAACCCUGGAUUUUUGUUAAAUUAAAGCAAAACACCUUAUAUAAAUUAUUUUUUUAUUUUACAUACAUUUGUCAUAAUUAUUUAAUCACCCAGUGCUGGCACCAAAAUUUCUACAUAAAGUUUUAAAGUCCAAACUAGGUUAAUAAUUAUUUUUUUAAUAAAAAAAAUCUCCCACUCUUCCCCAUCCAGUUAGUAGUAGUGACAGGAUUUUGUAUGUGUGCGGUUCUUUUUUUUUUUGGUUAGCAUUUUGCUUCGGUCGACUCCCAUGGGUUGUCUACUUUUUGCAUAUUUUCAUUUUUUUUAACAUCAGCUCUCAAAGCAACACCCCCCCCCCCAACUGAGUGCCCAAGUCAUAGGCCCACCAGUGUUAACUUAUCUACACACGAUCAUGCAAGAUGUGGGAAGUUUCUUAACUGCAAUGUGUAUGCAAUUAAUGGAAAGCAGGAGGGCGAUGCAAAAAUUCUUGUAAGGAAAGAGGGAUGACAAGAGAUGAAACAGUUGCAAACCUUGCAGGGCUUUCUCAAGCACAGGUCCGACCUGUGCUCCUGUGAGUAUGGGACAGAGUUGGUCACGGAUCACAAGGGGAAUUUGGGGAAAGUGCCACGUUCUGGACUAA
Zootoca vivipara (common lizard) is the source of this 2461-nucleotide non-coding RNA. The record is from RefSeq and is a predicted model, not a curated record. NCBI's taxonomy places the organism in Eukaryota, Metazoa, Chordata, Lepidosauria, Squamata, Lacertidae.